This 301-nucleotide ribosomal RNA is filed under the name uncultured bacterium. Its description in RNAcentral is "partial 16S ribosomal RNA". It matches the Rfam family "Bacterial small subunit ribosomal RNA", at positions 509 to 809 of the family's 1533-position model. The record is from RNAcentral.
CAGUCGCCGCGGGAACACGUAGGUGGCAAGCGUUGUCCGGAAUUAUUGGGCGUAAAGCGCGCGCAGGCGGAUCAGUCAGUCUGUCUUAAAAGUUCGGGGCUUAACCCCGUGAGGGGAUGGAAACUGCUGAUCUAGAGUAUCGGAGAGGAAAGUGGAAUUCCUAGUGUAGCGGUGAAAUGCGUAGAUAUUAGGAAGAACACCAGUGGCGAAGGCGACUUUCUGGACGAGAACUGACGCUGAGGCGCGAAAGCCAGGGGAGCGAACGGGAUUAGAUACCCCCGUAGUCCCUGUCUCUUAUACA